This is a long non-coding RNA of Seriola aureovittata, 286 nucleotides long. RefSeq lists it as uncharacterized. The record is from RefSeq and is a predicted model, not a curated record. Lineage: Eukaryota; Metazoa; Chordata; Actinopteri; Carangiformes; Carangidae. The transcript is spliced from 3 exons.
AGCCAGCGGCUCCGGUCAGUGAAGUCCCCGGCUCUGGUCACCCCACUCCCGGCCUCCUCCCUGCGGACACACCCUCCUCUGAACGCGGCUCCACACGGAUCCGUUUGUCGGGGAUAGCUAGAGCACUGUGAUACUCAGUGAGCCCAACUGCAUCGACCUCUCUGCCCGGACUAGUAGAGAGGAGGGGGUGGAGGGUGGAGCAGCAGCCGAGGAGUGCUGCCUUCAGAAUAAAGAACAUCACUGAGAGCUGAGAACCAUCAUGACACGUGCACCUGCACAAUGAUAC